RNAcentral lists this ribosomal RNA (440 nucleotides) under uncultured bacterium. Its description in RNAcentral is "bacterial SSU rRNA". It matches the Rfam family "Bacterial small subunit ribosomal RNA", at positions 339 to 796 of the family's 1533-position model. The record is from RNAcentral.
UUACGGGAGGCAGCAGUAGGGAAUUUUCCGCAAUGGGCGAAAGCCUGACGGAGCAACGCCGCGUGAGGGAUGAAGGUUUUCGGAUCGUAAACCUCUGUCUAGGGGGACGAUAAUGACGGUACCCCUGGAGGAAGCCACGGCUAACUACGUGCCAGCAGCCGCGGUAAUACGUAGGUGGCAGGCGUUGUCCGGAAUUAUUGGGCGUAAAGGGCGUGUAGGCGGCCUUUUAAGUCAGACGUGAAAACCCUGGGCUUAACCCAGGAACUGCGUUUGAAACUGGAGGGCUUGAGGACCGGAGAGGGUAGUGGAAUUCCCAGUGUAGCGGUGAAAUGCGUAGAUAUUGGGAGGAACACCAGUGGCGAAGGCGACUGCCUGGACGGCACCUGACGCUGAGGCGCGAAAGCUAGGGGAGCAAACGGGAUUAGAUACCCGAGUAGUCG